GGUUAAGCGACUAAGCGUACACGGUGGAUGCCCUGGCAGUCAGAGGCGAUGAAGGACGUGCUAAUCUGCGAAAAGCGUCGGUAAGGUGAUAUGAACCGUUACAGCCGGCGAUGUCCGAAUGGGGAAACCCAGUGCAAUUCGUUGCACUAUCGUUAACUGAAUACAUAGGUUAACGAGGCGAACCGGGGGAACUGAAACAUCUAAGUACCCCGAGGAAAAGAAAUCAACCGAGAUUCCCCCAGUAGCGGCGAGCGAACGGGGAGCAGCCCAGAGUCUGAAUCAGCUUGUGUGUUAGUGGAACGGUCUGGAAAGUCCGACGGUACAGGGUGAUAGUCCCGUACACCAAAAUGCACAGGUUGUGAACUCGAAGAGUAGGGCGGGACACGUGGUAUCCUGUCUGAAUAUGGGGGGACCAUCCUCCAAGGCUAAAUACUCCUGACUGACCGAUAGUGAACCAGUACCGUGAGGGAAAGGCGAAAAGAACCCCGGCGAGGGGAGUGAAAAAGAACCUGAAACCGUGUACGUACAAGCAGUGGGAGCACCUUCGGGUGUGACUGCGUACCUUUUGUAUAAUGGGUCAGCGACUUAUAUUCUGUAGCAAGGUUAACCGUAUAGGGGAGCCGCAGGGAAACCGAGUCUUAACUGGGCGUUAAGUUGCAGGGUAUAGACCCGAAACCCGGUGAUCUAGCCAUG
RNAcentral lists this ribosomal RNA (693 nucleotides) under Klebsiella pneumoniae. RNAcentral's name for it is "partial 23S ribosomal RNA". It matches the Rfam family "Bacterial large subunit ribosomal RNA", at positions 1 to 738 of the family's 2925-position model. Lineage: Bacteria; Pseudomonadati; Pseudomonadota; Gammaproteobacteria; Enterobacterales; Enterobacteriaceae. The record is from RNAcentral.